This 346-nucleotide ribosomal RNA is filed under the name uncultured bacterium. Its description in RNAcentral is "bacterial SSU rRNA". It matches the Rfam family "Bacterial small subunit ribosomal RNA", at positions 8 to 334 of the family's 1533-position model. The record is from RNAcentral.
AGAGUUCGAUUCUGGCUCAGGAUGAACGCUGGCGGCGUGCUUAACACAUGCAAGUCGAACGAAGCACUCUAUUUGAUUUUCUUCGGAAAUGAAGAUUUUGUGACUGAGUGGCGGACGGGUGAGUAACGCGUGGGUAACCUGCCUCAUACAGGGGGAUAACAGUUGGAAACGACUGCUAAUACCGCAUAAGCGCACAGGAUUGCAUGAUCCGGUGUGAAAAACUCCGGUGGUAUGGGAUGGACCCGCGUCUGAUUAGCCAGUUGGCAGGGUAACGGCCUACCAAAGCGACGAUCAGUAGCCGACCUGAGAGGGUGACCGGCCACAUUGGGACUGAGACACGGCCCAA